GGGGAAACACUUAUCUAUAUUGGAAUCAUCACUGGCAAUAUAAAAAAUAAGAGGCAACCGUAUUUAGAAUAUACAGGUUGGGGUUUUCCCAACAUAGUAAGCUAUUUCUUUCCCCUAUUCAUAGGCUCACAUAGUAUAUCAGUUGCAGGAUUAUGAACACUAUUUACAUACUUUUUUUUAAAGGUGAACAGACUUUUCUUAAUAUAUACACUCACAUUUUUAUUUGGUGCUGCUCAAAUAUUGCUUCUUAAUACCUGCUAUGGAUAGUUCUUUGUCUUGAGAGUAUUUCCAUCACAGAGUAUAUUUGCUGAGAGCUGCCAGGAUGCAUGCAUGGUAGGUCUAACACAUUUCACACAUACACACAUUUCAAAAUAUGACUUCAUGUCACAGGGAGAAAAUGAAAAAGGACAAAAAUAAAAUAUGGUUUACAAUAGUGACAUUCAAUGAAUGUUGUGGAAAGGCCUAUACCUAGAUGUGACAUAGCUUAUUCCCAAUUUAUCUCCAGCAAAUCGAAUUUUCUUCCACUGGAGUUCUGCAUUGCUGAGGCUGUCUGUCCCAAUGGCUUCCUUGAAGAGUUCCACAAAAUAGCAGGAAUUUAACUACACAGAAUUUUAGUCCCAACAUAUAUGGGACCCUAUGGAUGAAAACCCUCCUAAUCUUUAUCUGCUGUCCUUUAGAAGAUACAUCAAUCAUUUGCUUCACAGUCCAGAGAACCUGACUCAAUGGAGACCUAUAGGUCUCAUUCAUCAGGCAAAGUAGAUUCACUGGCUUCCAGAUGUCAGUGACUAAGUUAGGAAUCUUGGGCUUUCACCAUUGAGUGGUAGUGGAGUAUGGAUUACUUUAACUUAGUGCAACAGAAAACAUUUUUGUACACCUCAGGUAAGGUAGCCAGUUCUUCCCUUCACUGUAUCCUUUACUGGCCCUGGAGAGUGUAGUUAUGCUAGUAACGAAAGGGACACUGUUUCAUAGCAGUUUUUAUUAUUGUAUUUUGUAGCUUUUUGCUAUAGCUAUUGACAAAU
This 1019-nucleotide long non-coding RNA is filed under the name Sarcophilus harrisii (Tasmanian devil). RNAcentral's name for it is "lncRNA (ENSSHAG00000027557.1)". The record is from RNAcentral. Lineage: Eukaryota; Metazoa; Chordata; Mammalia; Dasyuromorphia; Dasyuridae.